Molecule: ribosomal RNA, 499 nt
Filed under: uncultured bacterium
Lineage: Bacteria
Description: partial 16S ribosomal RNA
Rfam family: Bacterial small subunit ribosomal RNA
Source: RNAcentral
GACGAACGCUGGCGGCGUGCCUAAUACAUGCAAGUCGAGCGGACUUUCAAGAAGCCUGCUUUUUGAAAGUUAGCGGCGGACGGGUGAGUAACACGUGGGCAACCUGCCUGCAAGACGGGGAUAACUCCGGGAAACCGGGGCUAAUACCGGAUAAUAUCUUCCUUCGCAUGAAGGAAGGUUGAAAGGCGGCGCAAGCUGCCGCUUGCAGAUGGGCCCGCGGCGCAUUAGCUAGUUGGUGAGGUAACGGCUCACCAAGGCGACGAUGCGUAGCCGACCUGAGAGGGUGCUCGGCCACACUGGGACUGAGACACGGCCCAGACUCCUACGGGAGGCAGCAGUAGGGAAUCUUCCGCAAUGGACGAAAGUCUGACGGAGCAACGCCGCGUGAGCGAAGAAGGUCUUCGGAUCGUAAAGCUCUGUUGUCAGGGAAGAACAAGUACCGUUCGAACAGGGCGGUACCUUGACGGUACCUGACCAGAAAGCCACGGCUAACUACGUG